Molecule: ribosomal RNA, 392 nt
Filed under: uncultured bacterium
Lineage: Bacteria
Description: partial 16S ribosomal RNA
Rfam family: Bacterial small subunit ribosomal RNA
Source: RNAcentral
ACACGUAGGGGCCUGACGUUGUUCGGAAUUAUUGGGCGUAAAGGGCGCGCAGGCGGCCGUCCAAGUCCGGUGUUAAAUGGUCGGGCUCAACCCGAUCAUGCGCUGGAAACUGGGCGGCUUGAGUCCCGUAGGGGAUGCCGGAAUUCCAGGUGUAGGGGUGAAAUCUGUAGAUAUCUGGAAGAACACCGAUGGCGAAGGCAGGCAUCUGGCCGGAGACUGACGCUGAGGCGCGAAGGCGCGGGGAGCGAACAGGUUUAGAUACCCUGGUAGUCCGCGCAGUAAACGAUGCGCACCAGGUGUCGGGCGGCAGCGCCCGGUACCGGAGCUAACGCGAUGAGUGCGCCGCCUGGGGAGUAUGCCCGCAAGGGUGAAACUCAAAUGAAUUGACGGGG